GAUGAACGCUGGCGGCGUGCCUAAUACAUGCAAGUCGAGCGAACAGACGAGGAGCUUGCUCCUCUGACGUUAGCGGCGGACGGGUGAGUAACACGUGGAUAACCUACCUAUAAGACUGGGAUAACUUCGGGAAACCGGAGCUAAUACCGGAUAAUAUCUUGAACCGCAUGGUUCAAUAGUGAGAGACGGUUUUGCUGUCACUUAUAGAUGGAUCCGGUCCGCAUUAGCUAGUUGGUAAGGUAACGGCUUACCAAGGCAACGAUGCGUAGCCGACCUGAGAGGGUGAUCGGCCACACUGGAACUGGGAAACGGUCCAGACUCCUACGGGAGGCAGCAGUAGGGAUUCUUCGGCAAAGGGCGAAGGCCGGACGGAGAAACGCCGCGUGGGGGAGGAAGGUCUUCGGAUCGUAAAACUCUGUUAUUGGGGAGGAACAAAUGUGUAAGUAACUAUGCACGUCUUGACGGUACCUAAUCAGAAAGCCACGGCUAACUACGUG
Molecule: ribosomal RNA, 497 nt
Filed under: uncultured bacterium
Lineage: Bacteria
Description: partial 16S ribosomal RNA
Rfam family: Bacterial small subunit ribosomal RNA
Source: RNAcentral